AGACUAAACGCUUUCCGAUUUUUAUUGACACACGAAGACUCAUUUGCUACGUAAUCCAAAAUACUCAAGAGCAACUGUUAGCCUGGAUCUACAUACUCACAACAUCAGCCAGAAGACUGAAAUUUGAGGACAGCUCUGACUGAUCUGUCUGUGCUGGAAACAUGCUUGGAAUUUAGCAUCAAAAAGACAACAAUUGGAGGAAUAAACAAUACAGCUGGUUUGGGUCUCUGCUGGAGGCUGUCCAUUAAAAAAUUUUGGUAACA
Molecule: long non-coding RNA, 263 nt
Organism: Cyanistes caeruleus (blue tit)
Lineage: Eukaryota; Metazoa; Chordata; Aves; Passeriformes; Paridae
Source: RefSeq, a predicted model, not a curated record